This 89-nucleotide transfer RNA is filed under the name candidate division WWE3 bacterium. RNAcentral describes it as "tRNA-Ser". It matches the Rfam family "tRNA". Rfam says of the family: Transfer RNA (tRNA) molecules are approximately 80 nucleotides in length. Their secondary structure includes four short double-helical elements and three loops (D, anti-codon, and T loops). Lineage: Bacteria; candidate division WWE3. The record is from RNAcentral.
GGAGGGGUGCGAGAGUGGACUAAUCGGCUCGCCUGGAAAGCGACGCGGGGAAUUUCCUCACGAGGGUUCGAAUCCCUCCCCCUCCGCCA